CUGGUCUCAAAUCAGGUAGGAUC
Molecule: ribosomal RNA, 23 nt
Filed under: uncultured fungus
Lineage: Eukaryota; Fungi
Description: partial 28S ribosomal RNA
Source: RNAcentral